GUGCCGGCCGCCGCGGUAAUACGGAGGACCCAAGCGUUAACCGGAAUCAUUGGGUUUAAAGGGUCCGUAGGCGGGUCGAUAAGUCAGUGGUGAAAUGCAGGGGCUCAACUCCGGCACUGCCAUUGAUACUGUCGGUCUUGAAUUAUUGUGAAGUGGCUAGAAUAUGUAGUGUAGCGGUGAAAUGCUUAGAUAUUACAUAGAAUACCGAUUGCGAAGGCAGGUCACUAACAAUAUAUUGACGCUGAGGGACGAAAGCGUGGGUAGCGAACAGGAUUAGAAACCCUAGUAGUCC
RNAcentral lists this ribosomal RNA (292 nucleotides) under uncultured bacterium. Its description in RNAcentral is "partial 16S ribosomal RNA". It matches the Rfam family "Bacterial small subunit ribosomal RNA", at positions 505 to 796 of the family's 1533-position model. The record is from RNAcentral.